GAUCCUGGCUCAGGAUGAACGCUAGCUACAGGCUUAACACAUGCAAGUCGAGGGGCAGCGGGCAGAAAGCUUACUUUCUGUGCCGGCGACCGGCGCACGGGUGCGUAACGCGUAUCGAACCUACCACAUACUCAGGGAUAGCCUUGCGAAAGUAAGAUUAAUACCUGAUGUUGUUUAGUGUCCGCAUGGACAUUAAACCAAAGAUUUAUUGGUAUGUGAUGGCGAUGCGU
Molecule: ribosomal RNA, 230 nt
Filed under: uncultured bacterium
Lineage: Bacteria
Description: partial 16S ribosomal RNA
Rfam family: Bacterial small subunit ribosomal RNA
Source: RNAcentral